Molecule: ribosomal RNA, 465 nt
Filed under: uncultured bacterium
Lineage: Bacteria
Description: partial 16S ribosomal RNA
Rfam family: Bacterial small subunit ribosomal RNA
Source: RNAcentral
GACGAACGCUGGCGGCGUGCUUAACACAUGCAAGUCGAACGGAAAGGCCCUGCUUGCAGGGUACUCGAGUGGCGAACGGGUGAGUAACACGUGGGUGAUCUGCCCUGCACUUCGGGAUAAGCUUGGGAAACUGGGUCUAAUACCGGAUAGGAACCAUCUUUAGUGUGGUGGUUGGAAAGUUUUUUCGGUGUAGGAUGAGCUCGCGGCCUAUCAGCUUGUUGGUGGGGUAAUGGCCUACCAAGGCGGCGACGGGUAGCCGGCCUGAGAGGGUGUACGGCCACAUUGGGACUGGGAUACGGCCCAGAAUCCUACGGGAGGCAGCAGUGGGGAAUAUUGCACAAUGGGCGCAAGCCUGAUGCAGCGACGCCGCGUGGGGGAUGAAGGCCUUCGGGUUGGAAACUCCUUUCGCUAGGGACGAAGCUUUUUGUGACGGUACCUAGAUAAGAAGCACCGGCUAACUACGUG